Molecule: non-coding RNA, 925 nt
Organism: Solanum lycopersicum (tomato)
Lineage: Eukaryota; Viridiplantae; Streptophyta; Magnoliopsida; Solanales; Solanaceae
Source: RefSeq, a predicted model, not a curated record
CGCCUUAGUACACUAGUUAUUUAUUAUAUGGCAACCCUUUUAAAGUGUCCUAUUUUUUAUAAUGUAAAAACUACACAUUACAAGUGUGGCUUUAAAAAUUUCACUAAAAUUUUAUAUUCCCGCCAAUAUUUCCAACUCUCCCUCCCAUUUUGAUUGGCCAAAAAUUAAUAAAACAUUAUCUUUUCUCUUUCUCCAACUUUACUCUUUCUCCAAAAAAGCUUUGUACUUUACUCUUUCUCCAGAUUUCUCCAAACAUUAUCGGUGUUACUCUUUCUCCAAACAUUAUCGACGAACUUUAGAUGAAGAACUAAAGGUGAAGAAUUGAUAUCAACGAACUAGGAUGGAGAUUAAGCUGAGAAUUGAUAUCGAAGAACUCAACUUUAGAUGAAGAACUGAGCUAAGGGGAAUAACUGAAGAAAGGCAAACUGAGUUGAAGAUGAAGAGUUGAAGCUGAAGAAAUGACGGGUGGAAGCUGAAGAAAUGACGGGUGGAAGCUGAAGAUUCCUCCAAUAUCGUUAUUUUCAAGCGCAACUACUGAUUUCAACAAGGAAGGAAUAGAUUAAUUUGGGGUUUUUAUAGAUUAAAUUCCAAAGUAGGAGAAGAAAGUUGCGAAAAUAUGAAUAACAAAGUGAGCCUUACGCACAUUCAGCAAAGGUGAAAGAGGGAUUACCACUCGGAAGACUUUGAGUCAGUUAGUAUCGCAGUGGACAUUAGAGGCAGAACAAUGAGCUCUGUAGUUUGAAGACGCUCCUGGUUUCGUCCCUAUCCCGAGUUCGUUGCUCCGAGAGAGAACGGAUGAAGGAUUUAUAGAUAGAACGGAGGAAGGGUUUAUAGCCGACUACAUAUUGCUGAAGGUUGCAUCGAUUCGGAAGCUCAACGGAAAGGAAAGACUCAAGUCAUAGAGUGAUUAUUUGAUUGGCUAAGG